RNAcentral lists this ribosomal RNA (513 nucleotides) under uncultured bacterium. RNAcentral describes it as "partial 16S ribosomal RNA". It matches the Rfam family "Bacterial small subunit ribosomal RNA", at positions 28 to 523 of the family's 1533-position model. The record is from RNAcentral.
GACGAACGCUGGCGGCGUGCCUAAUACAUGCAAGUCGAGCGAAUCUUGAGGUGCUUGCACCUCUUGGUUAGCGGCGGACGGGUGAGUAACACGUGGGCAACCUGCCUGUAAGACUGGGAUAACUUCGGGAAACCGGAGCUAAUACCGGAUAAUCCUUUUCCUUUCAUGAGGAAAAGCUGAAAGUCGGUUUUUCGCUGACACUUACAGAUGGGCCCGCGGCGCAUUAGCUAGUUGGGGAGGUAACGGCUCACCAAGGCGACGAUGCGUAGCCGACCUGCGAGGGUGAUCGGCCACACUGGGACUGAGACACGGCCCAGACUCCUACGGGGGGCAGCAGUAGGGAAUCUUCCGCAAUGGACGAAAGUCUGACGGAGCAACGCCGCGUGAGCGAUGAAGGCCUUCGGGUCGUAAAGCUCUGUUGUUAGGGAAGAACAAGUAUCGGAGUAACUGCCGGUACCUUGACGGUACCUAACCAGAAAGCCACGGCUAACUACGUGCCAGCAGCCGCGGUAA